This 253-nucleotide ribosomal RNA is filed under the name uncultured bacterium. RNAcentral describes it as "partial 16S ribosomal RNA". It matches the Rfam family "Bacterial small subunit ribosomal RNA", at positions 524 to 776 of the family's 1533-position model. The record is from RNAcentral.
UACGUAGGGGGCAAGCGUUGUCCGGAUUUAUUGGGCGUAAAGCGCGCGUAGGCGGCUUUGCAAGUCGGGUGUGAAAUCCCCAGGCUUAACCUGGGAACUGCAUCCGAGACUGCAUUGCUAGAGUAUGGGAGAGGGAAGUGGAAUUUCAGGUGUAGCGGUGAAAUGCGUAGAUAUCUGAAGGAACAUCAGUGGCGAAAGCGACUUCCUGGACCAAUACUGACGCUCAUGUGCGAAAGCGUGGGGAGCAAACAGG